Cydia strobilella is the source of this 1132-nucleotide long non-coding RNA. RefSeq lists it as uncharacterized. The record is from RefSeq and is a predicted model, not a curated record. Lineage: Eukaryota; Metazoa; Arthropoda; Insecta; Lepidoptera; Tortricidae. The transcript is spliced from 3 exons.
UGGCCUGUAAAAUUAAUGUUGUUUAAGGCCCAUUCCAAACUCUUAUCUUCGAAUAGAGAACAUGCCAGGUGAUUUCGACCAAUUCAAUUUCGUUUAAUAAUGAGCUUAGUCAAUGUGGAACGGUCAUAAUAUCACAGUACACAAGCGAGGUAAGCCAAACAUAAUGCAAUCAAAUCUAAAUUGAAAUCUCGUGCUGAAUGUCGCCGUAUCACGUCUACGCAUCUCACCCGGGCUAGCCAUCCUCCUGCCGUUUUCAAGCACCUCAUUUUAAUAAGCACCGAUAGCAAACACUUCGGAAAUUGCCGGUUGUUUAUAGCAGAUUUAUUUAACACACUACACUGGUAUUGAGAAAGCGGCACUUCACUUAUCGAUUAAUCUCGGUACACGAAGCAUUGUUACGAGUUGGUUCGGCACGAUGCGGAGCAGUCAUUUCUGCGCUCGCGGAGGGUCUACCGAGCGAGCUGCGGCGGAGCCGAGGGCCCGCGCGCACCAGCCCGGAACACCGCACCACUCCAGCAAUUACCCACGUUCUUAGUGCAAAAGUAGAAAGGCUUCACGAUAAGAAACCGCUUGGCCAAAAGGAGUAAACUAAGUAUUUUCGAAGCUUAUUUUUGACAAGCGGAGGGGGGUGGCAAGACAAGGGAGGUAGCUGUAAAUGGGCAUUUUCAUUUUAAUUGUUACUUUUAUUAUGUUUAUCACGCCUAACUUUUAGUUUGAUUGCAAAUGGUUUGGUGAUUGACAUUGAUCUUCAGUUAUGCAACGACCGCUAACCGGCCAAGGUACAUGAUUAAAUGAAAACACCCAGAUAUUUGUGAAUGCACUCGGCAGGCGCUUUGCCGUGUACCUCCGCCAGGUUAGUAAUAGAGGAGGACAGUCGCUGCAGCGAGGUCCGACGCUGGGUGGUGACUAGCUUGCGCACUACGUUUAUAGGCCGUCGCAGGCCGAGCAUGGCCUGGGAUGCGAAAGACUCGGAAACUGUCGCUUCUUCGCUGUCUUCCUGUAUCGAUGGGACCUUAAAACCAAACAUCCUUUUUUCUACGAAAACACCGUUUCGAAGGGACUAAGUGACAAUAACUAAGCUUAACGUUAAGUUUCUGAUACGGACAUUACUCACAUGACAAAGUGUAAACAU